Oncorhynchus tshawytscha (Chinook salmon) is the source of this 1531-nucleotide long non-coding RNA. RefSeq lists it as uncharacterized. The record is from RefSeq and is a predicted model, not a curated record. NCBI's taxonomy places the organism in Eukaryota, Metazoa, Chordata, Actinopteri, Salmoniformes, Salmonidae. The transcript is spliced from 8 exons.
UUAUCUAGCAAUAAUGACAUCAACAAAAUUGGUAUGUAGUGUCUUCAUCUCGAAGAAAGACUGGCGCUAUUUUUAGGCAUCUGAUAUGUUUCACUGGGGUGGAGUCUGUAAACAGCAAGGCGCACGUCCAAAAGCGGAAGUCGCGUCACAGGCUCUCCUUCCUUUCCCCUGAAAAAAACCUGGAUGUUUCUGGUUUCUAUUGACCCCACUGAAGGUGCACCUUUUCAGACCAUGAAAUAAUUACUGUUCUUUAAUUGGUCUAUAGGAAUCUGGUCCCGGGAAAUUGGCCAGCUGAUUGGCUUUGAGCACCCCACUAUCCCUGUCCAUCACCAGUAUGCUGUCAAAGCAACAGUGCCUGAGGUGAAAGGCCCUGAAGACAGAGCUGCCAGUGAUCAGGGACCUGGAGGGCUCAUAAUACCUCAGACAGGAGAGAGAGAGAGACGGACUGCUGUUUGGGCCCUACGAGAGAGAGAAGAUUGUGCUGCAGGACUCCUGGGUUACAAAUGGAGUACCACCAGGAGCUGUUUGAGUCAGACCAGGACCGUAUCAUGGACCAUGUGGAGAUGGACAUGGAGAUGGUACCUGUGGUGAAGAAUGCGGACAUCAUCAACACUGUGUCUGGACCAAUCACCUCCACUCCUGACCUCCUGCCCAGGGCGCAGGCAACCACUGGACCGGCAUCGGCUUCGGGUAAGCCUUGUUACGUUUGGUUGACUGGGAGUGGGAGGUUGAAGGUCAAAGGCAUUACCGCAUGGUCCGACUGUGUGCGAUGUCCCAGGUAUGGGAUGAUCCACGGUGGUGGCAUCGGGAAGUUCCUCAGUGAUUGGAUUGUGACUGGGGACCCCCCCCUCUAUGACCUCAAUGGCAAAUGGACAACGGUACCCUAUAUGUGUACCAAGGUCAGAGUCCUAUGGAUUCAACAAAGUAGCAGGCUACUCUAAAGAGGAGUGUUUUGCGGGCCGUCCGACCCACAGGAUCAGUGUAUGAGCUACUAAAAGGCCGAGUUUCAGGCGUACCAACUGGUUCGGUCUAACCUGGUGAUGGAGAAGGUUGAGGUCGUGGACCUUACACCCUUCAGCAAGUUCAUGGUUAAAGGGGAGGACUCCCAAAAACAACUGGACAGACUGUUCGCUAACACUAUGCCCAAGUGGGCCUAAUUAACAUCAACCAUAUGUCGAACCCCACUCGGAGAGUCUACACUGAGGUCACCAUUACCCCGCUCGCACCUGGAGAGUUCCUCCUCAUCACAGGACCGGAUCAGAACUGCACGACCUCAGGUGGAUAGGAGACAGAAGGAGGGAUAACGUAGACAUCUCUAACGUGACAGAGGACAUUGGGGUGUUGGCUGUGGCUGGACCAAAGACUAGAGACGUCCUCCUGAGUGACUUUCUGUAGAACAUGAGCGGCCCCCGAGUGGUGCAGUGGUCCAAGGCACUGCAACUCAGUGCAAGAGGCGUUACUACAGUCCCUGGUUCAAAUCUAGGCUGUAUCACAUCCAGCCGUGAUUGGGAGUCCUAUAGGGCGGUGCACA